Molecule: long non-coding RNA, 979 nt
Filed under: Physcomitrium patens
Lineage: Eukaryota; Viridiplantae; Streptophyta; Bryopsida; Funariales; Funariaceae
Description: long non-coding RNA (PPAT_LNC008617)
Source: RNAcentral
UUGGGAUUUGGUUUAGGAUUUGAUUUAGGAUUUGGUUGGGGUUUGGUUUAGAAUUUGUUUAGGAUUUGAUUUAGAGUUUAGGAUUUGGUUUAGGAUUUAGGAUUGGGUUUAAAAUUUGGUUGGAAUUUGAUUUAGGAUUUGGUUUAGGAUUAGGGUUUGAUUUAGGGUUUAAAGUUUGGUUAGGAUUUGAUUUAGGGUUAGGAUUUGGUUUAGGUUUAGAGUUUGAUUUAGGGUUAGGAUUUGGUUUAGGUUUAGAGUUUGAUUUAGGGUUUAAGGUUUGGUUAGGGUUUGAUUUAGGGUUUAGGAUUUGGUUGAGAUUUGGUUUAGGUUUAGGAUUUGAUUUAGGGUUUAAGGUUUGAUUAGGGUUUGGUUUAGGAUUUAGGAUUUGGUUGGAAUUUGGUUUAGGAUUCAAAAUAUGGUUAGGGUUUGGUUUAGAUUUAGGAUUUGAUUUAGGGUUUAGAGUUUGAUUAGGAUUUGAUUUAGGAUUAGGAUUUGGUUAGGGUUUGAUUUACGAUUUAGGAUUUGAUUUAGGAUUUAGUUAGGAUAUGGUUUAGGAUUUUUUUAGGAUUUGAUUUAGGAUUUAGGAUUUAGAAUUUGAUUUAGGGCUUAGGAUUUUAUUAGGAUUUUUUAGGAUUUAAGAUUUAGUUAAUUUUGGCCUAAAUUUUGAAUAAAUUCCAAUAGGAUUUUAACUAAGAUUAAAUUAAGAUUGAAUUGAGAUGUAUUUGAGAUAUAUUUGUGAUCAUUCUAAUAUUUCUUUAAGAUUUCUUAUUAUUUCUUUGGAAUUUCUUUGAGAUUUCUUUGAAUUUGAUUAAAGUUUGUUUAGCAUUGUUAGUAUUCUAUUAGAAUUAUGUUUUUUAUUAUUACAAUUCUCAUUCUACCUUCCAAAGUCAGGUGCUCGGAGCAUUCUCAAGCAAGACUUCACUUGUUAUGACAUAUUUGGUCAAUCCGACGUGAAACGCUUGAGGUGGAAGGAAUUUGG